This 253-nucleotide ribosomal RNA is filed under the name uncultured bacterium. Its description in RNAcentral is "partial 16S ribosomal RNA". It matches the Rfam family "Bacterial small subunit ribosomal RNA", at positions 524 to 776 of the family's 1533-position model. The record is from RNAcentral.
UACGUAGGGUGCGAGCGUUAAUCGGAAUUACUGGGCAUAAAGCGUGCGCAGGCGGUUUUGUAAGCCAGAUGUGAAAUCCCCGGGCUUAACCUGGGAACUGCAUUUGUGACUGCACGGCUGGAGUGCGGCAGAGGGGGAUGGAAUUCCGCGUGUAGCAGUGAAAUGCGUAGAUAUGCGGAGGAACACCGAUGGCGAAGGCAAUCCCCUGGGCCUGCACUGACGCUCAUGCACGAAAGCGUGGGGAGCAAACAGG